GUGCCAGCAGCCGCGGUAAUACGUAGGUGGCAAGCGUUAUCCGGAAUUAUUGGGCGUAAAGCGCGCGUAGGCGGGUUUUGUGAAGUGUGAUGGUGAAAGCGGAGGGGUCAACCGUGGAGGGUCACUGGAAACUGGAAAACUUGAGUGCCGAAGAGGAAAGUGGAAUUCCAUGUGUAGCGGUGAAAUGCGCAGAGAUAUGGAGGAACACCAGUGGCGAAGGCGACUUUCUGGUCUGUAACUGACGCUGAUGUGCGAAAGCGUGGGGAUCAAACAGGAUUAGA
Molecule: ribosomal RNA, 281 nt
Filed under: uncultured Staphylococcus sp.
Lineage: Bacteria; Bacillati; Bacillota; Bacilli; Caryophanales; Staphylococcaceae
Description: partial 16S ribosomal RNA
Rfam family: Bacterial small subunit ribosomal RNA
Source: RNAcentral